This 2409-nucleotide ribosomal RNA is filed under the name Triticum aestivum (bread wheat). Its description in RNAcentral is "partial small subunit ribosomal RNA". The record is from RNAcentral. Lineage: Eukaryota; Viridiplantae; Streptophyta; Magnoliopsida; Poales; Poaceae.
AUGUUCGUGGCGCGGCCCAUGAAGAGCUGUUUUACGAAGCUGUUCCUCCAAAAAAAGGAGCACACUGCUAUUCGCGCCUCCUACCAGCGCCGCGGGAGCUUCUUCGGCAUGCGUGUCACGGCGCGGCGCGCCGGCGUCUUCGGAACGGUGGACUCCCGGCCUCCCAAGUCGCUGGCGGACGCGGCGCGCGCGCUCUGUGGCUGCUCCCACGACAAGGGCAUCGCUUCCGGGAACAGGCUGAUGGGCGCCCACCUGAGGGCCGGCAGGCCGGGCGCUGCUCGAGAGGUGUUCGACGGAAUGCCGCGGCGCGACGUGGUGUCCUGGAACUCCCUCAUGGCCGCGCACGCGCGGGAGGGCGCGCACCAGGAGGCUGCAUACGCCUUCCUGGAGUUGAGGCGUCGCGGGCUCCGGCCGGACCACACCUCCUUCUCCACCGUGCUGUCCGCCGUCGCGCGGCUGGAGGCUCUGGAGCUGGGGCGAUGCGUCCAUGGCCUCGCGCUCAAGUCCUGCUCCACGGGUAAUGUGUUCGUGGGCGCCUCUCUCGUCACCCUGUACGCCAACUGUGGGGUUUUCGGUUGCCUGCAGCGAGUCUUUGAUGACGUCGACACGCCAAAUGUGGCCUUGUGGAAUGCUCUUCUAUCAGGCCUCGUGAUGAACCAUCGGGUAGCAGACGCCCGCAGGGUUUUCGAUGAGAUGCCCGGUCGCAAUGUCGUGUCCUGGACGGCCAUGGUAAAGGGCUAUGUUACGGUGCACGAGGUGGAGCUGGCGUUGGAGCUGUUUGACUCGAUGCCCGUGAAGAAUUCUGUGUCGUGGUGUGUCAUGAUAGGAGGGCUUGUCCACCAUCAGCGAUUCAGAGAGGCAGUUGAACUGUUCAGAAGAUUGAUGCGGAAUGGGGAGGAAAUGACAAAUGCAGUUCUAGUUAAGGUUGUGAAUGCGUAUGCUGGUCUGAAAAGUAUCGGAGGAGGUAGAUGCAUUCAUGGGUUUUCUGUGAAGUGUGGAUUUGUUCUUGACCUGAUUAUCGAGGCAUCAUUAGUUGCGAUGUACUGUAACUCCUUGGACAUGGAUGAAGCACAAUUGGAGUUUGAUAAAAUGGACAGAAAGCAUGUCGGUUCAUGGAAUGCCAUCAUAUGUGGCUAUAUUUAUGCAGACAAGAUUGAUGAGGCUAGAGAACUUUUUGAUUCCAUGACUGAAAGAGAUAAGGUCUCGUGGAACUCGAUGAUUAAUGGCUAUAUCAGAGAUGGAAGAAUUACUGAUGCUACUGAGUUAUACUCAAGGAUGCCUGAGAAGAACGUGGAAGCAGCUACUGCUUUGAUGUCAUGGUUUGUAGACAACGGAAUGCUAGAUAAAGCACGGGAUAUGUUUUAUAGUAUGCCCCAAACAGAUGUAAUGUCUUGCACAUCUUUACUCUUUGGAUACAUGAAAGAAGGAUAUCUGGAUGAUGCACUGGACCUUUUCCAUAGGAUGAACAAAAGGACUGUUGUCACUUAUAAUGUGAUGAUAGCUGGUUUUCUUCAUCAAGGCGAGGCUACUGAAGCUUACAGGCUCUUCAAUGAAUCACCUUCUCGUGAUUCAGUAACUUGGAGCUGUUUAAUUACUGGGCUCGCUCAAAAUGGUUUAACUGAUGAUGCAAUUGGGAUGUACAAGAAAAUGCUAUUAACAUAUGUGCGCCCAAGCGAGUCAGUUGUUUCUAGCCUCAUAAGCUGUUUUGCACACUAUUCUAUGAUUGUUCAUGGUCAGCAGUUUCAUGCCGCAACUAUCAAGCUUGGACUCGAGUUAUGUUUACCAAUUCAGAAUUCACUCAUUAGCCUAUAUUGCAAAUGUGGCGAAAUGGUUACAGCCCAAAAUAUUUUUGAUCAGAUGAUUAAGAGAGAUGUGGUUACAUGGAAUACAAUAAUUCAUGGAUUUGCAUUCAGUAGCCUUGGUGAAAAUGCUAUUGAAAUGUUCGAGAAUAUGAAGAGGGCACAAGUUGAUCCCAAUGAUAUCACAUUUCUUGGUGUACUGUCUGCAUGUAACCACAUGAGUCUUUUAGAGGAAGCAAGACAUUUCUUUGACACGAUGACGCGCGAUCAUGGAAUUGUGCCUAAUAUAACGCACUAUGCUUGCAUGGUUGAUCUAUUUUGUAGGAGAGGCAUGGUUGAGGAGGCCGAAGGGUUAGUUAAGUCAAUGCCAUUUGAACCUGAUUCAGCAAUAUGGACCUCUCUCUUGAGUAGCUGCAGAUUGAGUGGCAAUGAUAAGUUGGCAGAGCAUGCAGCAAGUCAGUUAAUCGCCAUAAAUCCUUCUGCUAAAAUGCCUUAUCUGCACCUCAUCAGUGUACAUGGAUCAACAAAUAGAUGGGGCGUCAUUGAUAGUCUAAGAAGUCAAAUUAGGAGAACUGCCACUGAGAAAGAAGUUGGUUAUAGCUGGAUUUAG